GAUGAACGCUGGCGGCGUGCCUAAUACAUGCAAGUCGAGCGAACGGACGAGAAGCUUGCUUUUCUGAUGUUAGCGGCGGACGGGUGAGUAACACGUGGAUAACCUACCUAUAAGACUGGGAUAACUUCGGGAAACCGGAGCUAAUACCGGAUAAUAUUUUGAACCGCAUGGUUCAUAAGUGAAAGACGGUCUUGCUGUCACUUAUAGAUGGAUCCGCGCUGCAUUAGCUAGUUGGUAAGGUAACGGCUUACCAAGGCAACGAUGCAUAGCCGACCUGAGAGCGUGUAGGGCCACACUGAGACGGAGAGACGAGCCAGAGUCCGACAGGAGGCACCAGUGGGGACGGUUGGGCAAGGGGCGGAAGCUUGAAGGAGCAACGCAGGGUGGGUGAUGAAGGGCUUCGGGUCGUAUAACGCUGUUAUUAGGGAAAACCAUAUGUAGAAGUAACGAUGCACGUCGUGACGGUACCGAAUCAGAAAGCACCGGCUAACUACGUG
RNAcentral lists this ribosomal RNA (497 nucleotides) under uncultured bacterium. RNAcentral describes it as "partial 16S ribosomal RNA". It matches the Rfam family "Bacterial small subunit ribosomal RNA", at positions 28 to 507 of the family's 1533-position model. The record is from RNAcentral.